UCCUACGGGAGGCAGCAGUGGGGAAUAUUGGACAAUGGGCGCAAGCCUGAUCCAGCCAUACCGCGUGGGUGAAGAAGGCCUUCGGGUUGUAAAGCCCUUUUGUUGGGAAAGAAAAGCCAUGGGUUAAUACCCUGUGGUUCUGACGGUACCCAAAGAAUAAGCACCGGCUAACUUCGUGCCAGCAGCCGCGGUAAU
RNAcentral lists this ribosomal RNA (195 nucleotides) under uncultured bacterium. Its description in RNAcentral is "partial 16S ribosomal RNA". It matches the Rfam family "Bacterial small subunit ribosomal RNA", at positions 337 to 524 of the family's 1533-position model. The record is from RNAcentral.